AAAAAGAAAAAGAUCAGAAAAAUUUCCUUUACACUUUCUGUGCAAACCCAAAAACGCAAACGCAAACGCAAAAUCGAUCAAUAAGCGAUUCUCACAAAAUCAAAAUCUUUUGCGAUUUUCACUCAAUUUCCCCAAAAUCCCUCUCACCUCCGCCGCUGAAUUCAUCUUCAACCUCCCGCGGCAUCUCCGCGGGAUUUUCUAGGGUUUUUCCGAUCGAACCCUUUCUUCUCUGCAAUUCUUCCACGACGUUGUUCUCCAAGUCAUGCCUCCCGCGCGUCGACGCGGAGCGAACAAAGCCAAAGAGAACGGACACUUGCGGUUAGGCGAUCUUGUCCUUGCUAAGGUUAAGGGCUUCCCUGCUUGGCCUGCCAAGAUAAGUAGGCCUGAAGAUUGGGAGAAAGCUGUUGAUCCGAAGAAAUAUUUUGUUCAAUUCUUUGGCACCAAUGAGAUAGCUUUUGUUGCACCCACAGAUAUUCAGGUAUUUACAAGUGAGUAUAAAAGUAAGUUGUCUGCUCGGCUUCAUGGCAAGACAAAGUACUUUACCCAAGCUGUGAAGGAAAUAUGUGCAGCUUUUGAUGAGUUUCAGAAUCAGAAGACUAGUGGCGACGACACGGAUGAUUCUCGGAUUGGUUCAGAAGCUCCUACUGUUGAUGAGGCAGUGGGUAAUUCAAAGGAUACCACUGAUGCUGUGACAUCUAAUGCUGAAAAGGAUAAUAUCUAUGUGAGUAAUGCUGGCUCCGAUUCGGAGGACUGUUUGCAAAAAACCAGAGAGAGGGGUAGCCUAGAUGAACAGGUCACUGAGUCUGGCCGUCCAAAUGACAGUUCUUCUGUUUCAUCACCUUUAGUCAAAAGUAAAUUAUCCACUGGAUCAGAGAUAAAGAAGAAUUCUAGCAAACCCACCCUUAAAAGUGCAAGUAAUGUUAAUGAUUUUGGGCAACAUGAUAACGGAAAUAGUGUCUUAACAAAUGGGAGUACGCCAAGAAAGCUUGUUACUGGUUCAAAGAGGAGACUUGAAGUUGCAGAUGAUAGAAAUAAAAAUGGUGGAUCUUCUGCUGGAACAAUUUUGAAGGUGGGAAGCUCUACUGGCAGCGCUGAUCUUUUCAGGUCGGGGGCGACAUUUAAAAUAGGAAAGAAAGGAAAAGAUGCAUCUGCUGUUAAAUCAGAUUCUCCAGACACUCUUAAACCAGACUUGAAUGGUAAUACUGGAGAAAAAGGUAAGAACUUGAUUUCAAAAAACACAAGUCUUGAGGUAAAAAAUGAAUUACACGAGAUCAUGUCUGAUGCCAAGGAGGCUGGUGGCAAAAAUUCAAGCAUGGGAAAGAAGAACCAAGUUCAUACGAAGCAUAAUGUGGGAGCAAAUGAAUCCUUACAUGCUACGAAGAAGUUGAAACGCAUGGAUGCUAAAGAUGAUUCAACUUCAGGGCACAUCCCAAAAGAUGUGAAAAGUACUUUGCCUUGCUCUACUUUCGUUGAAGAUAAAUCAUCUAAAAUGUUCGAGUUGAAAAGGUCCACAUCAAAUUCAAAAGCAGAAAAAAGCUCUGGCCGUGAGUUGCCACCUACAAUCAAACAUCAUAGCCAAGUUCAGAAAACUAUGCCUGAUUCUGAUAGAAUUGCUUCUGAUGAGAAAAAAGAUUGGAGUAAUCUUAAACUGAAAGGUGAUAUGAAGAAUGUUAUGACAAAACAAGUACAGAAGAAACGUAAAGCUGUUUGCCUUUAUGAAGACGAUGAUAAACCUAAAACUCCUGUUCAUGGAGGAGCUGCAAAAAAUAGCAAGUCACCUUUUGCUUCAGAUGUCAAGAAGGGCAAUAAUGCACAUUCUGAAAAAUCUGAUACUGCUCGUCUGGCUCUCAGAAAUUCUGGUGAAUUUGUGGACGCUCACUUGAAAGAGUCGUCUUCUCAAUUACAUAGUCAUACAUCAUCAAUUAAGCCCCCCCAAAAAGAGAAAGCUGAUGAAGUCAUUACUGUGCAUGUUCCUCAUAGUCAUGAUAAGUUAGAUUCAAAGCAGUUUCCUUCUAAGGCGGCAAAAGUAAGCUCUGCCUCUCCAGUAAAAUCACCUCAGGCAGUUCCCGCAAUAACCAAGUCAAAUGCUGAGCGGAGUAAAUCUUCCAAAUCUUUGCUUAAAGCUUCCAGCAUUGCUACUCCAAAGAAAGCUGAUAAUGGGUCUUCAAAAUCUUCACAUAACCUCAGCUCUUCUCAGAACCAGGUUUCUGCUCAUAAGAAGAAGCCGGCAUCUUCAGCUGAAGUUUCUAAGACUACUCCAAAGACAUUGCCUCAGGCAGUUGACAUUCCUGUGUCAGCAGUAGAUUUUAAGGAGCCUGAUGCACUACAUGUUGAUAGAUUGGAAGAGGGUAUGGAAGAAAGAAGUAAUAUGAAGAAUCUUAUUGCAGCUGCCCAGGCAAAAUGGAAAAAAGCUCAUUCUCAAUAUCUUUCUUCUGAUAUUCACCACGUUCAGGGAGAGACUCCUAGCCCCUCCACACUACAGCCAUUUCUGUCUGUCUCAAGUAACUUUGCACAUGCAGAUGUGCAGGGAGUUCAUGAGCACACCACUUCGGUUUCUCCUCCAACUAACGAGUAUCACUCUGCAUCUCAAAAUCAGCUCGAUGCUGAUGAAAUUGAGGAGAGAAGGGUCAGUUCAGUGCAAAGGGGUCCUGGAGGCUCUCUCAGUGGUGGUACGGAGGCUGGUGUUGCUCGUGAUGCUUUUGAAGGAAUGAUUGAAACUUUGUCAAGGACCAAGGAAAGCAUUGGGCGUGCAACGCGUCUUGCCAUAGACUGUGCUAAGUAUGGCAUUGCCAACGAGGUUGUUGAACUUCUCAUUCGGAAAUUGGAAAAUGAAACUAGUUUUCAUCGCAAAGUGGAUUUGUUUUUUCUUGUUGAUUCUAUCACCCAGUGUUCACAUAGUCAAAAAGGAAUUGCUGGAGCUUCUUACAUCCCUACAGUUCAAGCAGCGCUGCCACGUCUUCUAGGUGCUGCUGCUCCCCCUGGAGCUAGUGCCCGUGAAAAUCGUCGUCAAUGUCACAAGGUUUUGAGGUUGUGGCUUGAGAGGAAAAUUUUGCCUGAGUCCGUUAUUCGCCAUUACAUGGAUGAAAUUGGGGUUUCAAAUGAUGAUAUCACAGUUAGCUUUUCCUUCAGACGUCCAUCUCGUGCUGAGCGAUCUGUGGAUGACCCAAUUAGAGAAAUGGAAGGCAUGCUUGUUGAUGAAUAUGGAAGUAAUGCAACAUUUCAGCUGCCUGGCUUUUUGUCUUGCCAUGCAUUUGAUGAAGAUGAGGACGAAGAAGAUUUACCAAUCAAUUCAUGUACAGAUAUGUAUGGUACAUCUCCAGUAGAUCCCACACCCAAGUUUGGAGGAUCAGAAACCGACACUGUGACCCCAAAUGACAAGCGCCAUUGUAUCUUGGAGGAUGUGGAUGGUGAGCUAGAAAUGGAAGAUGUUUCAGGUCACCCAAAGGAUGAGAAACCUGUAUAUUUGGACAGUUCUGUCGAAACUGAUAUGCUUCUUCAGAGCUCAAAUAGGAAUUUAGACCCAACUUCAGAUAUUGCAGAAGACAUAUUGGCUACUCCUGAGGGUUCCAUUCCAUUACCUCUUGAUUCACCUCCUCCAACCCCACCUUUGCCUUCUUCACCACCUCCACCUCCUCCUCCAUCAUCUCCAUCUCCUCCCCCACCACCACCACCACCUCCAAUAUUGCAACCAUUGCCUCUUUCUUUACCAUCCUCAGCCCCACCAGUAUCAUUGGUUCCUCAAUCGUCUGGACUGGCUCGGCCUUCACAUGUCUCCCAAUCAUUAAUGCCACCUCAGUCCUAUCAGUCAUCCCCAAAGUUGGGGUAUCAGCAGAAUGUACCUCAUGACUUCAGUAGACAAUUAGAAUACGGACAGAAUGAUUUGUAUAUAAAUGCCCAAGUUCAUCAACCUAACCAUCAGUAUCAGCAGGGUAACACCCCAUAUGUUCAGAGACAUACACAUCCUGCCCCACCCCAAAAUCCAUCAAAUCAGUUUUCAUAUACAAAUCAGACAGUUCAGCAACACCUUCCACAUACAUUCCAUCCUCCAUUUCCUUUACCAUCUCUUCCAGAUAACCUAAGGCAAUUUGUUAGUGAUGAGCAAAGGAGAAUGUCAUCGACAAACAAUCAACAUCAAAAUGUUGUAUGGAGAGGGAUAAAUCCUACAGGCCCUCCCUUUGGGCAAGAAGGUUUCCGACCACCACUUGAAAGGCCUCCAUUAAGCAAUGUAGGUUUUCAUCGAGCAGUUUCAAGCACCCUACCUAGUGCACCAGUACCAGGACAUGGUGUUCCUCAGAUGUUGCCUGGCAGGCCAGACAUUACUACUGUUAGUUGGAGACCCACUUGAAGUUAAUUGGAGUCUUAUUAAAAUUAAUGUUGUUGCCGAUGGAUGAACAUGCACGGCUAUUUAUUGUACUGCAAAGUUUGAUUUGGCUGUGUAGUACAUACAACUUACCUGUGAAGAGAAUUUUGAAAACUUGGGGAGGCUUUUGGCAGGAUUGUGUAUAUUGUAUUUUUCCUGACAAUGUAUCCCAGAAACAUUGGCUUCCAUGUUUAGGCCCAUGUUACUGACUUGGUUUUGACAAAACAAGAAAAGAUGUUGAACUCUUGGUCAUGCAUUGAAUGAUAUAACUCAGAAUAAGGCAAACUCAUCACAUUGAAAGACUGCUGAUAAUUGAGGUAAAUAGUCAUGCAAUUUCAGAACAGACAAUGCUAUAGUUACUGACUUCAAUUAGUAUGCAAGGGCACCUAUACAUAAUGUAUCAAGAACUCCGGUAAAACAAAUUCCAUAGAAAUAUUUAUUGUACAUUACGAUUUUUAGGUUGCUUUCCUGUACGGUGUAAUGCAUAAGUUAGAAUUCCUUGUUUUCCUGAGUUCUUUCUGAAGAAAUUAAAUUAGUAAUAGGAAAGUUUUAGCUACAGAAAUCUUCUUUGGUUAUACACUUAAAAUUAUGAUAUUUAUGGUGCCUUGCAUUGAGAGCUAAGGCAUGAUCUGUCAUA
Medicago truncatula (barrel medic) is the source of this 4997-nucleotide RNA transcript. It is a transcript of the gene named ENHANCER OF AG-4 protein 2, with no coding region annotated. Lineage: Eukaryota; Viridiplantae; Streptophyta; Magnoliopsida; Fabales; Fabaceae. The transcript has 12 exons. The record is from RefSeq and is a predicted model, not a curated record.